CCUUGGAGUGGGGAAUAACAGCUGGAAACAGCUGCUAAUACCGCAUAAUAUAUCUGGGUCGCAUGGCUCUGGAUAUCAAAGAUUUAUCGCUCUGAGAUGGACUCGCGUCUGAUUAGCUGGUUGGCGGGGUAACGGCCCACCAAGGCGACGAUCAGUAGCCGGACUGAGAGGUUGGCCGGCCACAUUGGGACUGAGACACGGCCCAGACUCCUACGGAAGGCAGCAG
This 226-nucleotide ribosomal RNA is filed under the name uncultured bacterium. Its description in RNAcentral is "partial 16S ribosomal RNA". It matches the Rfam family "Bacterial small subunit ribosomal RNA", at positions 129 to 354 of the family's 1533-position model. The record is from RNAcentral.